RNAcentral lists this long non-coding RNA (1121 nucleotides) under Oryctolagus cuniculus (rabbit). Its description in RNAcentral is "lncRNA (ENSOCUG00000033158.1)". Lineage: Eukaryota; Metazoa; Chordata; Mammalia; Lagomorpha; Leporidae. The record is from RNAcentral.
GUGGGGGCUUGCAUCACAGAGGAUCUCUACACAUCAGAAUGAAUGGGACGUGGGGCAGGCAGCACACUGCAAUGUGGCUGUUUUGUCUCCAAACUCCAAAGCCCUAAGCUUAUCUUGUGUUGUGGUGAGGCGCAUGGCGCACAAAGCAUUUGCAUCUUUCAAGGGAUAUUCUUUUUGUAAAGAUUUAUGUAUUCAUUUGAAAGGCAAAGCAAUCUUACACCGGCUGGUUCACUCCGCAAGUAGUCACAAUGGCCAGGGCUGGGCCAGGCUUUAGCCAGGAGCCCGGAACACACCCAGGCCCCCACGUGGUUGGGAAGGGGCCAAGUGCUCGAGCUGCCGUCCACUGCUUUCCCAGCACGAUAGCAAGGAGUGGGUGCUCUGAGAGCGGAUGCCAGCGUUGCAGGUGCGGCUUACUCACCGGCCGGGUCCCGGCCCCCGGCUGGGUCUGCUGGGCUGACGUGUAGGAAUCAGCCCACUGUGUCCAUGUCCGUCUGCCCACAGAUGGCCACAGGGACGAGCGGAGGAUAAAUCUGGGAGCAGAGUGGGCAUGGAAAGGCUGAGAAGGCCUCUUGGGCGCAGUGGGGCUGUCAAGUUUCCACGGCCGGAACCUACAACCACGGGCGGAGCAGGGCGGGCGUCCGGGAACUGGCUUCAUGCUGGUGCGUGUGAUAUGGGUACCCACUCAGGAAAGACACCGUUCCAGCUGGAACUCUCGAAUUCCCGCAGAGCGACGCUCAGUUUCAUACGGCCACCUUCCCAGGAUGCAACAGUCCCACACUGGACCAGGGCGCAUGCUCAGACCCUGCCCGGGUAGCCAAUCCGCGUGGGGCCCCGCCCCCUUCCCUAUAAGAAGGCGAAGAAGGCGGGAAAUUCGCAGACCGCUCUCUGCGGCGGGGCGCCUGUGGGCCGAGCCUUUCCUCUCCACCCGGUGGACGGUGUGGCCGGACCGCUCCGCCCCCGUGAGCCUGGAAAAGAUAGAAGGGAUGUGCCAGUCUACAGAGGGUGCUCAGGUAAUUCUGCCUGAAGAGAGAAUGAAUAUGUCUGCUUUGCUACAAGUUGAACACAAUUGCAGAGUUGCUUCCAUGAAUCAGGAAAACACAGGAAGUGGAGACGGUGAUUAG